UACAGAGGUCCCGAGCGUUGUUCGGAUUCACUGGGCGUAAAGGGUGCGUAGGUGGCAUGCAAAGUUUGAUGUGAAAGCUCAGGGCUUAACCCUGAAAUGGCAUUGAAUACUGGUGUGCUGGAGGUUUGGAGGGGGGACUGGAAUUCUCGGUGUAGCAGUGAAAUGCGUAGAUAUCGAGAGGAACACCAGUGGCGAAGGCGAGUCCCUGGACAACACCUGACACUGAGGCACGAAAGCCGGGGGAGCAAACAGG
RNAcentral lists this ribosomal RNA (253 nucleotides) under uncultured bacterium. Its description in RNAcentral is "partial 16S ribosomal RNA". It matches the Rfam family "Bacterial small subunit ribosomal RNA", at positions 524 to 776 of the family's 1533-position model. The record is from RNAcentral.